This is a long non-coding RNA of Musa acuminata AAA Group (dessert banana), 1667 nucleotides long. RefSeq lists it as uncharacterized. The record is from RefSeq and is a predicted model, not a curated record. The transcript is spliced from 3 exons. Lineage: Eukaryota; Viridiplantae; Streptophyta; Magnoliopsida; Zingiberales; Musaceae.
GCCCACAAAAGGAGGGAAAUGGAAGUUGUGUGUGAGUGCUUCUAAGUUGUAAAUAAUGUUGUCAAAUUGUUACAUUGAUCUCUCCAUGUGUGAUUUAAUACUUUUCUUUAUGGCAUAUCAUAUAGAGUAAGAAAAGCGUUUUCAUGUAUAAUCACCUCAGUUAGCAGAUCAGUCGGGAUUGGAAAAACGUAUCUCUGUUAAGAGUGAACUCUCAGCUUGCUUGCUUGCUUGUUUUACUCGGCAACAUUUCUAAGACUGUUCCGUCAUUGAGGAUUGCAGUGAAAACCUCAGGAGUAGCAGAGUGGUUUCCGACACUUGAAUAUCCAGAAAACUACUUUAAGAAUCCCAUAAGAAGGAACACAUCUAUGGAUUAUGUAUCAUGUUCUUCGUCACACGAAAUGUUGUAUCAGCUUGCAGUUCUUACUUGCAGACAUGGUUUGUCGAAAGCCUUCAUCUUGACGACCUACCAAACGUUUGAUUGGAUCUGCAUCAUUUCUUAAGGAAGCCCAAUACAGACACCUGAAUCCAUCACCAGUCAGCAGCAGCCACCCGACUAUAAAUUUGAGCUUGAUGAGUAACAUAUUUAUGCAAAAGAGCCAUCCUGUUGUUGGAAAUUCCUCUACAAGAUGGGGAAGAAAUGUGAACCCAUCGAUAGUGAUAUGGGUCUUUCGUGGAUCCCACCCAAGUCCGACCUGAUAUAAUCUGGUGUAGGUGAAGCUUAUUUUGCUCAUCGCGGAGAAGCUGGAACCGUAGCAGACAUCAUAAAAGGUGAAACCGGAGGAAACAGAGAAGAAACUUGAUUCUGAGAACUCCUCGCAGGAUUUGGGUUCAAUGCUAUCCGAGUGUCCCAGAUUCCCUCCAUGCAUGUGAGUCCAAGGCAAACUGCUGUAGAUUGCAUUGAGCAAUCAACAUCAACGACUCCAUCUCCCUCAAGGCCCUACUCGAAACCUAGCAGCAGCAGCAGACAUGAUUAGAGUGCUCAGUUCACAACCCUUAUUCCUGUGGGCUAUGCCUCUGUCCCCAUGAGCAAAGUGCCAAGCUGAUACCACAGCAAGCUCCAAGAUGAACACUUUGUACCGAGAGAAGGAAAAGGUCAAUGAAAUGAGAGCCACCCAGCCUCAACCACACUGCUGCACUUGGAGCUGUUCCAGUGUCCUCCGAAAGGACAACUACUCAUGAAUGGUCUUUUGUUCUCAUCCACGGAGCUACUGUUCCCUCUCUGACUUGUGAAAGGGACUUGGCCUUCGUCUCUCCCCUUCCCACGGGGUAGAUGACCUCAUGCACUCUCGGGAGUUCAUCGGGAAGUGUUUCACUCGGAGAUUCCACUGCUGCUUCUCAACGAUCCAUUUGAGUUCAUCAUGACCAUAUUCAGCAGGAAUGUGAUUGGAAAUUGUGAAAGCUGGGGGAAGCCUGUUGAUUGCAACAUUGCGGGAAACAAGCUCUCAUCUCUAAUUGUCCAUCAACCCCGAGAGGUGAAAUCAUUCUACUGGUGUUAGCAAAAUGAGGAUGCGAUUUACGUCUUGUCGAUGUUUUUUAGCGUCUCAGGAAACUGUGGAAUAUGUGCCUGCACUGUACUGCAAGCCGUAGUUCACGAGAACACCUUCGGUUCACAUGCUUCCCACCUUCAUUUCGGUCCUAUUAUCGAAUACCUCCUGUUAAGAUCUAUU